AGUCGUUCCCACGCUGUCUUCUCACCCGCCUAGAGCCUACCCGGCUCCUCGGGCUGUGCGGUUAGCCAGAGCCACCCCACACCCCAGGAACCCAGCUCGGAACUUGCAUUCCCUUGGCAGUCGCCCUCAGCCUCCAGCGGGAGGAUUCUUCCAGUGAUUGUCCUACUGAGGGUGGGCUGGCCCUGGGCCGGGCACCUCGACUGUCUCCUCCGAGCCCUGCGGUGCUGUCCUGACAGGCAGCAGCCCAACUGGAGAGGCAGGUACAAGCUGGGCCUCCACCCCAGAAUGCUUCUAUUUAAUUGACUUAAAGCGGACAGACAGGAAGAGCAGCUUUCUUGCCUGGAGCUACCCUCAGACACCAUGCCCUGCCCGGUAGUGUGACAGGCCUGAAGUCUGGACUUGCCUGGGGAGAAGGGCCUCACACACCCCCCUGUGGACCUCCUGCUGAGGCAGGUGCCUUUCCUGGAGUGGGAGCUGGCUUG
Molecule: long non-coding RNA, 482 nt
Filed under: Chinchilla lanigera (long-tailed chinchilla)
Lineage: Eukaryota; Metazoa; Chordata; Mammalia; Rodentia; Chinchillidae
Description: lncRNA (ENSCLAG00000024638.1)
Source: RNAcentral